Arvicanthis niloticus (Nile rat) is the source of this 351-nucleotide non-coding RNA. The record is from the annotation of a RefSeq genome assembly. Lineage: Eukaryota; Metazoa; Chordata; Mammalia; Rodentia; Muridae.
AUGCAUCAAACCAUCAUGGCCAUCAAGAUGGAAUCACAGACUCAGGUCUUCAUAUUUGUACUGCUUUGGUUGUAUGGUGCUUAUGGGAACAUUGUGAUGACCCAGUCUCCCAAAUCCAUGUCUACAUCAGUAGGAGAAAUGGUCAGCCUGACCUGCCAGGACAGUCAGAAUGUGGGUAGUUCUGUAUCCUGGUACCAACAGAAACCAGGGCAGUCACCUAAACCUCGGAUCUACUAUGCAUCCAACUGGUACACUGGGGUUCCUGAUUGCUUUACAGGCAGUGGAUCUGGGACAGAUUUUACUCUCACCAUCAGCAGUGCGCAGGCCAAAGACACAUCCAUUUAUUUCUGA